GUGCAAGUAUGAACCAAUUUUGAACUAUGAAACUGUGAAUGGCUCAUUAAAUCAGUUAUAGUUUGUUUGAUGGUACGUGCUACUCGGAUAACCAUAGUAAUUCUAGAGCUAAUAUGUGCAACAAACCCGGACUUCUAGGAGGGGCGCAUUUAUUAGAUAAAAGGCUGACACGGGCUCUGCUCGCUGAUCCGAUGAUUCAUGAUAACUCUAUGGAUCGCACGGCCUUCGUGCCGGUGACGCAUCAUUCAAAUUUCUGCCCUAUCAACUUUCGAUGGUAGGAUAGGGGCCUACCAUGGUGGUGACGGGUGACGGAGAAUUAGGGUUCGAUUCCA
This 332-nucleotide non-coding RNA is filed under the name Triticum aestivum (bread wheat). RNAcentral's name for it is "rRNA SSU_rRNA_eukarya". It matches the Rfam family "Eukaryotic small subunit ribosomal RNA", at positions 57 to 385 of the family's 1831-position model. Lineage: Eukaryota; Viridiplantae; Streptophyta; Magnoliopsida; Poales; Poaceae. The record is from Rfam by way of RNAcentral. RNAcentral also lists the same sequence under 1 other name.